Molecule: ribosomal RNA, 423 nt
Filed under: uncultured archaeon
Lineage: Archaea
Description: bacterial SSU rRNA
Rfam family: Archaeal small subunit ribosomal RNA
Source: RNAcentral
CCUACGGGUGGCAGCAGUCGCGAAAACUUUGCAAUACACGAAAGUGUGACAGGGUCAUCCCGAGUGCCGACCGCUGAGGUUGGCUUUUACCUAGUCUAGAAAGCUAGGGGAAUAAGGAGAGGGCAAGUCUGGUGUCAGCCGCCGCGGUAAUACCAGCUCUCCGAGUGGUGUGGACGUUUAUUGGGCCUAAAGCAUCCGUAGCUGGCCAAACAAGUCCCCUGUUAAAUCCACCGAUUUAAUCGUUGGCUUGCGGGGGAUACUGCUCGGCUAGGGGACGAGAGAGGCAGACGGUAUUCCCGGGGUAGGGGUGAAAUCCUAUAAUCCCGAGAAGACCACCAGUGGCGAAGGCUGUCUGCUAGAACGCGCCCGACGGUGAGGGAUGAAAGCUGGGGGAGCGAACCGGAUUAGAUACCCCUGUAGUCC